AAUUCAAGCUGAUGGGAAAAAGAAACUUCCGGUUGCAUCAUCGACCUUGAAAAAGGAUGAGAAAGAGUACUUUCGGUUUUUUUCCUCCCGACGCCGGCCCCCUCCUUCGCCGGACCUCCACCCCAAGCGCGGCACCCCCGACCUCCUCCUCCACCGGCCCCGCCUCCGACCAUCUACUGCAGCGCCACUAACCUCCACCGCGUGGCGCCCCGGACCUCUACCCCCGGCGAGGCACCCUAAAGCUCCGUCCCGCGCGGGCCCUGACCUCCUCCGCAAGGCGCCCCGAACCUCCGCCCCCGACCCACGACCGCCGCCGGCCCCCUCCUCGAUCCAACCCCUGACCGGGGCCGGGCCCCUUCUCCUCCUUCCCCGACUGCCGCCGGCCCCCUUCCCCAACUCGUCGGCUGCCAUUGGCACGCACUCGUCGCCGGCAGGUUACUGAUGCUUUAGCUUGAGCAGGACUUGAAUCAUCAAAUCUUAUUGUCGGCAUUGAUUUCACAAAGAGCAACGAGUGGAUAGAUGAGUCGGCAAUGGAUGUACAACGCCGACCAACGUUCAAUGGAGUUUAUUAAUGGCGUGCACGAAUUCAUCGAUGCGGCCAAGAAACACAAGCAAGACGGUUUCUUUCGUUGUCCAUGCCGAAUAUGUAAGAACGAGAAAUAUGGAGUUUACUUGUCAACAAGAACCAUUCACAGUCACUUGUUCGAAAAUGGUUUCAUGCCUAACUACAAUGUUUGGACCGAGCAUGGAGAAAGAGGGAUGAUGCUAGAGAAUGAUGAAGAAGAAGAUGAUUUUGUUCCUCACUUUGAGGAAUAUUACUAUGGUGCCUUCUUUGAAGAUACUACAAUGGGUGAGCUUGAAGUAGAUGCUGAAGCAUAGGUUGCAGAAGAUGAUCUAGGUCAGAUGCUGUGCGAAGCAGAGGAAGUAUGCGAAACUGUAAAGGAAUCCAAGGAUCUGAAACUUAUGUUGGAGGACUACAGAACAUUGUUGUAUCCAGAUUGCAAACAAGGGCACAAAAAGUUGGGUAUCAUAUUGGAAUUGUUGCAAUGGAAGGCAUCAAACGGAUUCGAGGAGUUGCUGAAACUUAUAAAAAAACUACUCUCUAAGGCAAGACGUUCUGUUUGUCCUCUAGGAUUGGGAGCAUAAAAGAUAUAUGCAUAUCCUAAUGACCGCAUCCUCUAUAGUGGCGAGGAGAAUGAAAGCAUGUCUGUCAGCCUUGGUGGCUUCGUACAUCGAGGAGCACAAGCAAAUCAUACGAAGCAAGUACCCUUGGAAGUCUGAAACCUGGAUUACAAAGCAUCAUAUCGAUACUUUUGCCACCUAGUUACGCACGGAAUUUAUGGCCAACGAGGACAUUCAUGAACAACUUGCUUAGAUGGCCAGGGGUCCAUCUAAUACAAUCUUGACGUACCAAGGAUAUGAAAUUAAUGGAUACACAUUUUACACAAGAUCCCAGGACAAAAAGAGCACCAAUCAAAAUAGUGGUGCCCGUAUAGAAGCUAUAUAUACUAAUGGCCAAAGAAACUCAUAUUUUGGUUACAUUGCGGAGAUCUGGGAACUCGACUAUGGGCCUUUAAAGAUUCCUAUAUUUCGUUGCCAAUGGGUGAAGCUGACUGGAAAAGGCAUUGAUAUUGACGCAUACGGAAUGACAACCAUAGACCUCAAAGAGCUUGGCUAUCGAGAUGAACCAUUCAUCCUAGCCAAAGAUGUUACUCAAGUUUUCUAUGUAAAGGACAUGUCCAGCAAACCCAAGAAGGAUAUGUCUUGCAAAUCAAUGAAGGACAACUCAACAGAUGAUGAGCCAAAGCGCCACAUAGUUCUAGCAGGUAAAAGAAAAAUUGUGGGAGUUGAUGAUGUCACAAAUGAAGAAGAAUACAAUAAGGCUGAAGACAUGACUCCGUUCGCAGUGGAUGCUGAAACAAGUAUCCUUUUAGCUUAGGAGGACGCUCCCUACGUAUGCCAUGAUCAUAAUGAAGGGACAAAUGUAAAG
Panicum hallii is the source of this 1990-nucleotide long non-coding RNA. RefSeq lists it as uncharacterized. Lineage: Eukaryota; Viridiplantae; Streptophyta; Magnoliopsida; Poales; Poaceae. The transcript has 3 exons. The record is from RefSeq and is a predicted model, not a curated record.